ACUGCGUCUUCUUCUCCAUAGUUUUUUAUCUCUGCUCCCAGUCAUGUUCCUGACCUUAUUUGCACUAUAGUUUCUGGGAUUCUGUACCUCUCCUCUGCAUCUUGGACACUGUACACUUCAUUCCUUUUGGGCCUCUCCUGCCAUGCUCUUAUAUGAAAGUGAGACACUAGGCAUGUCGAAGUACUUGCAAUAGGUUAUGCAGGUCAUCCCUCCAGAGGUUUUUUUUUUUUAAUUUUAGAAUUGAAUGCUUCCCACGUUACAUUACAAAACAAUCACCUGCAGUUUUUAUUCUGCCCAUUUUUAGAUGAACUGUCCAAAGGAAGCAGGUGACAACCUACCACGGCAGCCACAGAUCACCUCCUGUUGUGAUAUACCUGGGAUAUUCCUAGACUUACACCGUUGCUUCAUACUAUUAAACAGUUUGUGUUUGCAGGCUAUUCAGGCAUUGCCAUGUUGGCCAGUCUGUAUCAGCCCCCCUAAGAAGGUCCUCCUGGGGGUUCCAGGUCCAUUUCAGAGCAUCUGAUUGCAUGUAAUCUUUCCUUCCAUAACCUCAGUUGCACCCUGUCAGAUGUUAUGUCCAAUGGUGCAACACUGGUCACAAAACGGUUUCACACUUUAAGCUGUUUAGUUACUUCACUGUGACCAUAGAGUGGAUGCCUGGGACCUUCCAUCUGCCAUGAACUUUGUUUUUGGCUCACUACCUUUCUUCUCAAAACAGGUGGUACAAUGGCAGCCAGUAAGUACAAGCUAUCCUUUGGUGUGGCUCUAGACAUCCUGUUAUUUCAUGACAGCUGUUGUUUAGAAGUGGGUCUAGUUUCUUGGCAUGAACUGAUCAUUCCUAUAUUGGACAUGCAUACAAUGCUUGAAUAUACAGUGAACAUAUAAUCACAACUAUAUAUUUUUAAUAGAACACUUUGUCAUGUUAUAUGUUCACUGGUAGCUUGUUCUACUUACCUAAUUUUAAGAUUCCGCUCCUUUUGUAAUUAAACAAAAAACUGCGUAAUUUGAUUUUGAGCAUUGUUCAUUGUUUUAAAAGCCUAGAUUAUGCGAAUUAAAAGCAAGAACUUGAAAGUCUCUAUUUUUUACUUUUCAAGCACAUCUGUAAGUCUCAAAAGAUUUGAGAAACAAGAAGAUGACUCUGCAUAUGUUAAAAAAGGCAUUACCUCACAGUGCAAAAAUCCCUACUGCCAGCAAAUAUUUUCUUGUAGACUACUAAAGAAAAAAGAGGGAGAGACUCAAAUACUCAUGCAUGAUUGUGAUUCCUUCCCAGACUAGGUCAUUUCUGCUGCUUAACAAGUUUGGAUGUUCUCCAGAAGCAAAAUGUAUUUUAUCCAAAUAAAUUAAAAGUAGAAAUAUUGCAACAAAAUUCUAUCAAUAGCAAGUGUGUUGUCAAUGUUCUCAGUUUCCAAGAGAUUGCCAGGUUGUAGUUCACAUAUUCUAUGUUUAGCUUCUUCUUUCUUCAGAGUUUAAUCAUUAUAAAGAUUUGGUAAUAGUAAUUUGGAAUAAUAAAGUGCAGUUGGGAUCUGAUCUGAGGCCCACUGAAGACUCCCACUGAUUUCCAUUAAUUUUGGAGCAGACCCUUAAUGUUAAAAAUAAUAAAAAUAUCUGCUAUGUAUUGUCGUCUAACAGGGAAGAUUACCUAAGUGGCAUUUCUCAGAAGCUAAAAAUGAUUCCAGGGUUUAUAGACCUGAUUCAGUUUAAUAGUAAGCCCCU
This is a long non-coding RNA of Gavialis gangeticus (Gharial), 1713 nucleotides long. RefSeq lists it as uncharacterized. The transcript has 3 exons. The record is from RefSeq and is a predicted model, not a curated record. Lineage: Eukaryota; Metazoa; Chordata; Crocodylia; Gavialidae.